This 450-nucleotide ribosomal RNA is filed under the name uncultured bacterium. RNAcentral describes it as "partial 16S ribosomal RNA". It matches the Rfam family "Bacterial small subunit ribosomal RNA", at positions 354 to 796 of the family's 1533-position model. The record is from RNAcentral.
GUGGGGAAUUUUGGACAAUGGGCGCAAGCCUGAUCCAGCAAUGCCGCGUGCAGGAAGAAGGCCUUCGGGUUGUAAACUGCUUUUGUACGGAACGAAAAGGCUCUGGCUAAUACCUGGAGCUCAUGACGGUACCGUAAGAAUAAGCACCGGCUAACUACGUGCCAGCAGCCGCGGUAAUACGUAGGGUGCGAGCGUUAAUCGGAAUUACUGGGCGUAAAGCGUGCGCAGGCGGUGCUGUAAGACAGGAGCGAAAUCCCCGGGCUCAACCUUGGAAUUGCGCUUGUGACUGCAGCGCUGGAGUGAGGCAGAGGGGGAUGGGAUUCCACGUGUAGCAGUGAAAUGCGUAGAUAUGCGGAGGAACACCGAUGGCGAAGGCAAUCCCCUGGGCCUGCACUGACGCUCAUGCACGAAAGCGUGGGGAGCAAACAGGAUUAGAAACCCUUGUAGUCC